RNAcentral lists this long non-coding RNA (9670 nucleotides) under Orbicella faveolata. RNAcentral's name for it is "uncharacterized LOC110056800, transcript variant X2". Lineage: Eukaryota; Metazoa; Cnidaria; Anthozoa; Scleractinia; Merulinidae. The record is from RNAcentral.
AUGUAAAUAAAGUGGCCGGGUAUUCUGAAGUUGCUCCCACCUUGCUUGACCCCAAAAUUUUGUAUAAGCAUUGUCUUCAGUUUCUCUUGGGAUGACUGUAAUACCCAGAAUAAAUGGGAAGAACGGUUAUGCAACAUUUUGGGGGCAAACAAGGUGUAUCAUGCGGGAUGUGGAAAUGGCGAUUCUUCACGCCGCCCGACCUCCGCCAUAUUGGUUCUAGCCCGCAAUGCAAACUGCUAAUCACGAAAAACCCGCGAACUUGUGGUCACGGUCGAGGGAGACUGGCACUAGUAUUUUACGGGAUUGCUUUCGCUAGAUUCGUUACACAUUUCCUUUUGCGCGGUUUUCCAAAUUUUAAGGAAGAAAAGUGCGACCCCUUCUCAGUUGGUGGAAUAUUCCUUAGUCAGUAGGGUAUCAGGUUUAACAGCAAUGACGCUGAAGGAGAAGUGGAGCAUAGGUCCAUGAAAGCUGCAGGCCAUCUUGUUCUGUCUCAUCUUGAGCCACCUUAUCAAUCUACCUCCAGGUGUAGCCUGCCUUGCCCACCAGUCAUCAUCUGCUAGUCUCCUCCAGCCGUUCUUGGGAUGGUCUUGGAUCCUCUUCUCCUGGUAAGCCUUUUAUACAAAGUGAAAAUGGCUAGCUAAACAUAUUCCCUUAAAGGAAACCUUUGAAGCCAAACUUAAAGCUUGUUUGUGGUGCCAUGCUUAACUGUGGUUUCUGAGGAUGAAGCAUUUACUAGGAAUAUUGCUACUCCCCAUGGAUGGAAUGCUAAUCUAUUGCAGCUUAUUCCCCAGCAUUCUGUCAAGUUGCCCCAACAACUUGCCACUAUUCAUUUAAUAUUCUCUUGAGCGGAGAAAGGAGCAACUAAAAACUGAAAACAAUUUUAUUAACUGUUUUGCAAAAGAAUACUCAGAAUUCCUUACUUCAUGUGGAAAGAGAGCUCUUGUAAAGAGUUCAUCUUCAAGACACUGUGAUUAAGCAUUCUUUUGUGUUCUUUUCCCUCUUAAGUGAAUAGCUAUAUGAAGUUUCUCAUCUCCAGGAACAAUUUUGAUAUUAUGGAGUCUCUCCAGAUCUAGCCAUUGAAGUGUAGCUGCUGGAACACUGCCUAUUCACUUAAACACAAAGCUGCUCAAACAAGAGGAAUAUUAUUUAGUAAGUUUUAAAAGAAAUAUACUGCAAGAAGCACUGCAUAUCAAGAACAAUUGUGUUUUCUGCUCUUUGUAAUGAUUGGCGUACAUCUGAUAGAAUUAAGUAAAUGAUUCCUACAGUAACAUUUGGUCCCUUUGCCUUGAUUAGCGUACGAAUGAUGUACCAAUGUAAAUUUUGAGAAUUUGGAAAUUCAACAAGGCAAUUAGAUCUAUAGAUUCAUGCUCUCUAAAACUGAUCUUUUGAUCCUUUGAAAUGCCUAAAUCUCUUUUUUUUUCACAAUAUGCAAGUUCUAUUGAGCAGGUAAGUAUAUGUAGUGUCAGAAGAAUUAUUUUUGUACUAUAAAAUUCCCUAUCUUUAACAUAGCUACACCUUACAAAAGUUUGUGUCAUUGAAAUACCCUAUAAAGUCCUUACCUCCUGUAAAAAAGGCAGCUGUUUUAAAGCUACAAAGCACUGCAAAGUAUCAUUUCACGAUGGUCAUUUCAGAUAGACGGGGUUAUGUAUGUGUGACUUACUUGGUCUUGCUCUCAUUUCCAAGGACAAACUGAGUACACAGCUGGACAUUAAGGAAUGUUGACAUUAUGCAAUCCCCUCUAGUAGUACAGAUGUUGAUAUUAAGCUGAACUUCUCUCUACUCAAGAUAUAGGUUUAUGGAUCAAUCCCGAUCAGCUUCUUUUGAAAGCCUCUUUUCCAAGCAGACAGGGCAUUUAGGAACUGAAUGACAGGUGGAUCCCAGCAAGAAAUGUCGAUAUCAUGGAGGUCCUUCAUGAAGUGACUGGCCGGUUUGAGCACCACCCUAACAAUUCACCUGAAUACAAAACUGCUUGAGAUGGAGGAACAUUAGUAGGUUUCCCUCUGCCUUUCAACAGCAAGUUCAAAACCCAACUGAUAAUUAUAAUUUUUCUGUUUUUAACUGCAUCAGUCAUAAUAAAUUACAUUGAAACUGCUUCAAAAUAAAAACAUUAAAAAAUCAUACACUACAAGUAAUUUUCCCUAAUGGCUCAUGCACUGUUCUUAGUUCUGAGAUUUUGGUUCUCCAUCAAGAUAAUAUCCUCUCAUUUAUUGCAGUUCUUUGCUAAAAUGUAUGUAUGUUCCAUGAAUUUGUCCCCCAGCAUCAAGCUUUAAUGUCCCUGUUCAUACCUUUGUUGUAAACUUCUCAAGACUGCUUUGUUGUUGACUGUGCUAAUUCGUACUUACUCUUGAUCCAUCUGUCCUUUUCUUUCCUGUUAUUCUAGCAGCAGCAGCAUAUGAAAGGCAUCUGUCAGGUUUGUGUGAUUGUCUGCAACAGCUGGUCUGUUUAUAUUGGUAUGUUUGUUUGGUUUCAAGAGAUGACUUGGUGUGGCAGUUAGGGAUGAAUUCUUCUAAGAAACUAACCACAUUACAAGAAGUUAGUAGUUGUGAGAAAAGUUAAACAUACAACGUACCUUCGUAUUAAGAUGAUCCAAAGAGUGUUCAGUGGUGACAGUCAUAAUCCUGAAACAAAACACACCUGCCAAAAUCAGGUGAUUCCAGAGAGCUUCCUUUUAAGGAUGUCCCCGAAAAUGGACGAGUUUUGAUUUUGAUGAUUUUAGUAAAUAAUACAUGAAGUGAUUGAUUUGAAACAGAAGUUUGCCCCCGAAAGUGGGCUCAUUUAAACAAAACUCAUGUCCCUGAAAAAUGGACACUUUGAUUUUUUUGUUAUUUAAGGCAGAAGUUUAUGCUGCUGAAAGUUCACUUAAUGUUAAUAUAAAAUUAAUAAUGUAGCUGUAGCUAUACUAACUGGUUUAGGAAAAAAGCACACUGACACUCAUGUUUGGUAGUUUUAUUAUAUGCAGUAUGUAUUAUAUAAUUAUUUUAUUUAAGUUACAUUACAAUUUUACAAUGUUACUCUCAGUGAUUUCUUCCUGUGUUUGCCAUGCUUUUUGCUCCCGAAAAUGAGCAGUGCACACGAACCAUGAGUACUAUGCUUUUUACAAUAACAACAAUAUCUUUACAGUGCAAAAAUCCACAGGACCUAAAUUAAUCCAUGAGGGGAAGCGCUCCUUAAGGUGAAUAAUUUAGCAUCCAGAGAAAGCCAAGAGUGUUCCAGUGUCAGUAAAGUCAACACUUUAUUUAGAACACCCAGGGCCCCUGAAUGGACUUCGCAUUUGUCUGUCAGCUUUGGCUUGCUAACAAGACAAUGUCGUUACCAAGCCUUCACAUGUUUGCAGCUGGAUUAUUUACCAGCACAAAAACCGAAAACCGAAAGCCGAACCAAAUAGCUAAUACAAAUGUUAAAUUUAAAUUAACUAGUAAAUUAAAAGCAACUGUAUGUUAUAUUACACUGGAAGACAACACCUGUUUCAAACCUCACUUUCGUCUGCAUCAUAUAUUUUUUUAAAGCAGGAUAGUUCAAACAAUCCACAAUGUUGCCAAAUAAGGUGACUAAGAUGAAAAUUGGACACUGAUGUCAUCCUGCAUUGCAACAUAACAUACAGGAUUGCUCUCUCUCAACGUACCUCACGCCAGGUUGUGGAAACCUAGCUUGUAUAUCAUUGCUCAGACCUUCAGCCAUUGGAUAUUACUGCUGCUUCAACAUAACUGCUGCCAGAGAAAUGCUUCAAUGACAAGACAAGCAUACAAUGGGAGCAACCAAAAGGUACUAAUAACAUCAUAUGUUGGUCUCAUCCAGUGGUUUCCUUUAACCAUAAAUCUCAGGUGUGUCCAUCCCUUUUGAUGAGAUAACCUUGCAAUCUAUCUUGAUGCUGUGUGAUAUCUUUCAAUACUUGAUGAUCCUGUGAGAGGUCAGUUCUCAGUCUACUAAUUCAGUCCUGACUGAAAGCAAUCUCUUAUUAGCCUUCAUAAUUUGGAGUUGGGCAUGAGGUUGAUGACAUCACUCUUGAUGACAUCACCCUAUAGAAAUGAAUUUGUCUUCGAAACAACUGCGAGAAGUGAAUACCAAUAACAAAAUCAAAGGCUAGAACUGCAUUCUGGAAUAUAAGUACUCUCUAGCACUGGUAGAUCUACAAAUCUAUAGGUCACAAGUUAGGUCAUUAGUUCACGGAGAAUGUAGGCCAUGAAAUAUUGCUGUGUUGGGUUACUGAUUACAUAAGAAGAAGAUAAGCAUUCACCUCAGUGACAGGUAUCAGUAUUGAGAUAUCUAUUCCUAAGUAGAAACGAAUUAGAAGUUGAUCCAAACAAGACUUUUCAGAAAGAUGACUGCAAUCUAGUGAUGCACAACAGCAACAACAAAUGUCAUUCACCCUGAGCAGGUUUAGGUAUUUUCUAAAUGCCACAGUGGAAACUCAGAGAAUUGAGGGCAAGAUGUUGUAAAGGAAUCAUCAUGAGUAAAAUGUCCAUCAAGUGUGAUCCUUCAAAAUGGUUCCUGUACAAUGUAGGUAUCAAAUCUAUGGCAAGACCAGUUCAGUAAAUUUAUCUGGUUUUGAGCAGUAGAAUAGGAUACUCCCAGAGUCCCACAGUUGCUGUUCUUAAUGGCCAGUGAAACCUUGUGUUAUGGGCCAGUGAGAAGUUGGUAAUAUUUGUAUUGACGUCCCAUGAUGUUGUGUAGUACUCUGACUGGUUUGCAGUUCUAGCUCAGAUGUAAAUAAUUCCUGGUGUAAAUUAGUAUUAAUUGCUGCAUAGACCUGAAGAGUCUGUAAGCCAGAGCCAAUCCCAAUCGAGGAUCCUCGAUUGAAAGUGUAUUUUAAGAAUUGAUCAAUAGUAAAAGGGAGUCAUGGGAAGACAUGGUUAAGGUAGUAUAACAAAUAAUGGUUUUGCUGGUAAUCUUUCGCAGCAUCAAUAACCUACUCAUCAGUGGUAUGUACUGAUCCAUGCCUGCAAGGACAUGCACAAGUUUUCUGCAGCCACCCUAAUAAAACAGAAAGGUUGAGACUCAAACUAAUCAUCCUCCAAAUAAAGCAGAAUAGAAGUAUAAUUUACAGUAUGUUUGUCAUCCAACAUUUGAAUAAUUAUAAGAAGGGGGCUCAGUGAUUCAAUUCACCAUGACACUAUCACUCUUUAUACAGGUUUCUGUAUUUAAAGAGAUGCUGAUGUACUGCUUGAACUAUUAAGGUUCAACCAAGUCUUCUUCUAAAGGAAUUGCAAAUUCUCUGAAAUUAAUAUUAUCAGCUGAAACUGGUUAACACAGCAUCCAUGAUGUUUAAGUUGACCAUUAGAGGUCAAAAUAUAUUGGGAAUCUAGCUUAGGCAGACGCUACUACCAGUAACUCACUGGUUGCAGGCAGCAAUUACAUUGACAUCUCUAUCUGGCCCCAGUAAGGUGCAUUACUGACAACUGAGAAAAAGAAAGAACUUGAACCAAGUAUCAUUUAGGAGAAUCCUUUAUCAUGGAGGCUGUAGAUGAAUCAGCUGAUAUCGAACAUGCUGAUGAAGCUGUGGACUUUGACAUUCAUCAACCCUUGAAGAUGUCAGUCAGGUCAUAAGUGGAUGAAGUGUCACUCGCUGGCUGGCUGCAUAAAAUGUUUCUCAUAAUGUUUCUCAUACACGAGAGUGGGGUGAGGCAGUAACAGAUAUCAAAAGAGGGGGGGAGGGGUUGAUUAUAUCAAUCUCGAAAAAGCCAUAUAUGCAGCAGGGUCGUACCUUUGUGCCAUUAUGAGGUAAAACCUGCUUUUGAUUAAGUCCUGUAGAACGAUGAAGCCACUAAUGAGUAUCAAGAGAGUCUAGGAAGGCAUAGUUGAGAUGACUGUCAGAAGUAGUUUUGUGCACUCAUGAAUAAUCUUGCCAUGAUGUGUACUGUUCACAUAUGCACAAAUCCAAAAUUCCUAUAUCAUGAUAACACGCACAUUGACUGGCUUCCUGGGCAUUAAUAGGAAAAAAUAAGAGAUGUUUCUUGCGACAUUUGCAUUUGAGAAGAAGAGUCAGGGUGAGAGGUUCUUGACAAUCAGCUUGUCACAGCUAUGGCUGUACCAAAGAAACACUGACAUAAUAAGGGGCAGUGCAUCGUGAACACACUGGAGAUGCUUGCCAGUCUUUUAAACUUCAAGUGUUGACUGAGGGAUUUAAUGGUUUUAAUUAGGACAGAAUGUGAUCAGGCUCCUAUCAGUUUGCUCUUUACUUAGCUUCCUUCCUCCCUAAGACAGUAUUCCACUUCACUCUUCUUUGGUUUAAUCUUCUACUUGAAUACAAGUGUGGUAAAAAAAAAAUGCUGUAAUUGAUAUGAGGAAGUCUUGACAAUGCUGUACUAUUCUAAGUUCAGCCAAGUUGUCUGGUGUACGUAAUAGACAUGCUGGUAAUUGCCUCACCUUGGGCUGACACCUUGCCGUGGUGGUGAAGCUUACAUGUCUCAAGUUUGUGUAAGCCACUGGGAAAUGAGGUAGAUGUGCUGCUCAUAUCAGUGGAGGAAGAGAUGCACUGAUAGAAGGAGCACUUUGAAGGAGUGCUUAACCAUGAGGAGCCACCCAACCCUCCAAAAGUAGAGUCAAGCAACAAACUAAACAUCAGGACAGGUUGUAUUACAUUGCUGAGAUCAGGAACGCUAUGAAAAAGUUAAAGGAGUGGCAGUCCUCCUUGUGUGUCAACUUAAUAGAUUUUGAGAAGGCUUUCGACAACAUCAGCAGAGAGGUGUUGUGGAAGUUGUUGUGCCACUACAGGAUGCCUGUCAAGAUAGUUACCAUAGUCGGAGCUCUUUAUGAGGGUUUUUCUGGGCAGGUGGUACAUAAUGGACGGAAGACCUAACCACUAUGCAUGAGGACUGAGCCAGACAAGGCUGCCUGCUAUCUCUCUUGCCCCAAUUGCAGACCAGGACAGCUUUUGAUAGGAGGCAUGGUAUCCAAUGGUCCUUCACAACAUCUUUAGAAGACCGAUGAUCUGACCCUACUGUUGCACAGAAUGCAGGACACGAAGGAUCAGACACAGGCCUUGGAGGAGCAAGGUGCAAAGUGAAGAUCAUUGUUGCAAAGACAAAGCUGAUGUGUAUCUGUACCAAACGCGGUGAUGGUGUGUGGAUUGAAGAGGAGCAGUUCGAGGAGGUGGACGAAUUCACAUACCUCGGGAGCAUUCUAAGUAACAAGGGUGGUACUGAUGAGGAUAUCCAGACAUGCAUUGGGAAGGCAAGGCAGGCAUUUGCCAUGUUAAGACCAAUAUGGCGGUAUAUGGCACUGACAAUGAAGACAAGUUAAGAGUCUUUGGGUCAAAUCUGAAGGCUGUGCUCCUGAAUGGAUCUGAAACUUGGCAGUUGACCAAGGGAUUGAAGCAGAAGUUGCAAGUAUUCAUCAAUAAGAGCCUGAGGAAUAUCCUGUGCAUUUGGUGGCCAAGACCAAUACAAAAUGAGGAGUUUUAGAGACAACCAGGGUAACGACCUUUAGAGUAGGAGAUUAGACAAAGAGCUUGGGGUUGGGUUAGCCACACACUGAAGAGACCAGAUGGAUACAUAGCCAAGAGGGCCAUAGGGUGGAACCCACAGGGGGAGCACGAGAGAGGGAUACCCAGCACAGCUGGAGGUGCACAAGAAUGGCAGAGUUAGAUGAGAGGCAACUCACAUGGUGGGAAGUGAAACACACUGCUCAAAUUUGGGUCAGGUGGCGGGCACUAGAGGACAACUUAUGGUCCACCCAAGUGGAAUGAAGAGGAUUGACUGAGUGAGUGAGCGCUGGUAAUUGAAUUCUGGUGUAAUACAGGGAUACAUUAUGUCAACUUUACUGCCAAGCACUGCCAUCAACUGACUGUCAUUUUGUACAAACAAAGAGAGCAGAGUAGAGAAAUGUGCUGGACACUUUCUGUUGUUCUGGAGGAUCUAGAUCAUGCAAUAUUCUAUAUCAGCCCAUUCAUGUCAUGAGGUAGGUAAGGUCUUCAUCCAGCUACCAUUUCCAGACUGCCAGGGCUUACUCCAGUUUCAGAGGUUGAAAAUGACUAAGAGUAUUUCAUCUUCCCUGAAUGGGAUGUUAGUAUCCCCCUCUCAUUGUGGCAUGCAGCAAAUUUGUACAUGAGUUAGGGUGAAAAAUUAGGCCUUCAAAUACGUUGCUUCUGGGUGAAUAUGAGAGGACCAUAAGAUAAAAAGGUUUAGGGCCCUAGCCUAUCCCAGGCACACCUGAAGGAGGACCCAGAGACAGAACUCUAAGCUUUAAACCUAGCUGGCCAAGUGACUUCCAGAUGCAACAAGAAUGGAGAGACCUUGUUGUUUCCCUGUGCAAAGCAUAGCAUCCAAAGGAUCAGAAAUGACUGACAAGGACAACAGAAUUUCAAUGGCAAUGCUUGUUGACAUCAUUGUUUUGCACCCCACUUUUACAAUACAGGAGAGAUACUUUGUUUCCUUUAGUCUGACUAGUUCUUGGCCAUCUUUAGGCAGGUAUCCUUUGUUCUCCUUCCAAAGCCACCCUGUUUGUUUCCUUUUUGAAUUUUUCUGCAACUUGUACUCUAUCUGACUGGCUGGUAUAUUCUCAUCUUCCUAAUCCUAACUGCAGAACCCCCAGGAAUGGAGAGACCUUAGGAUUUGUUUCCCUGUGAGCCACUUGAUAAUGGUGAUGAUAAGUCAUGCAUUCCAUGUGUGACUGCGUAAACUUAGAGUUUCAUUCUUCCUGCAUCUUGAUUGCUUCUGUUGUUUGUGUUUCUUUAGCUGUCCAUGUUCCACCAUAGAAUAAACAGCAAGAUUCGUGAUGUUUGUGAUGAUGACAAUGAGGAUAAUGAUAAUGAUCAGACAUACAUGUCACAUGUGGGUGGAUAAAUGUUUUUGCAUCUUGAUUGCUUUUGUUGUAUGAGUUGUCUUCAAGUCGUGAAGCUUCAAUGGCAAUGCUUGCUGAAGUCAUCAUACCUAGGCAGUCAAGGCCACAAUGAUACGUUGGCAUCCACUGCAAUCCUUUGCACAGGUGCUCCAUGUCUCCAUCUCAAGUCAGGUCCUGUUCUUCCUCUGCUGAAAUUUUCUAUAAUUUACACUGCUUGUCUACCUUGUCUAAUACUACUCUCAUCAUCCUAACUGUAGCAAUAGGCAAUUUUCAUUAUGAUGUCAUGCCAUAAGUGAGAAUCCUUAAAGCGUUUGUUUAGCUCACUGGGAUUGGGCUGCUAUUUAUUGUAUUUAUUAGGAAAAAAUCUGAACUCUGGUUGUUUUAGUCAAAUGACAUCAUAGUGCAAACAGCCUAUUGUUUGGUGAUUAUCUUCUUGGCUAGGUCCUGGAUUCCUCUUUUUGUCACAGCAUUAGCAGCUUCCAAGGUACUUGCAGUGAUUCAUUGAUUGGCACUCCUGCUCAUCUGCCAACCGGCUGGCUGCCUUUCCUCUUUUGGUUAGCUCAAUGAUCCUUGUCAGCUAUUAUCAAAGGCUACCUAUCUAGCUGAUAUGAGCUGAGAGUCCUGUCUGGCUUGGGUGUAGCACUCAGCAUAUUGAUGAAUAACAGGCUGGGUGGUCUGUCUUUGAAAUGUCUUUUUUAUGGCAGUGGCUGACUGGAGAAGAACUGGUCAUCAUGAAAUGAAGAGAGCUGAAAAAUAAAACAAGGCAGUUAAUGAAGAACAAAGUGAACAUCAUCCGACUGUAAUAACUGCACUUAUCCUUUGCACAGUUGACACAGUUUUGGUGUGAAUAGGCUUUUUGAUGAACGAUAUAAAAAUUCAUCAUCUUUGGAAA